GGACGAACGCUGGCGGCGUGCUUAACACAUGCAAGUCGAACGGAAAGGCCCUGCUUUUGUGGGGUGCUCGAGUGGCGAACGGGUGAGUAACACGUGAGUAACCUGCCCUUGACUUUGGGAUAACUUCAGGAAACUGGGGCUAAUACCGGAUAGGAGCUCCUGCUGCAUGGUGGGGGUUGGAAAGUUUCGGCGGUUGGGGAUGGACUCGCGGCUUAUCAGCUUGUUGGUGGGGUAGUGGCUUACCAAGGCUUUGACGGGUAGCCGGCCUGAGAGGGUGACCGGCCACAUUGGGACUGAGAUACGGCCCAGACUCCUACGGGAGGCAGCGGUGGGGAAUAUUGCACAAUGGGCGGAAGCCUGAUGCAGCAACGCCGCGUGCGGGAUGACGGCCUUCGGGUUGUAAACCGCUUUCGCCUGUGACGAAGCGUGAGUGACGGUAAUGGGUAAAGAAGCACCGGCUAACUACGUG
RNAcentral lists this ribosomal RNA (469 nucleotides) under uncultured bacterium. RNAcentral describes it as "partial 16S ribosomal RNA". It matches the Rfam family "Bacterial small subunit ribosomal RNA", at positions 27 to 507 of the family's 1533-position model. The record is from RNAcentral.